RNAcentral lists this unclassified non-coding RNA (298 nucleotides) under uncultured fungus. RNAcentral's name for it is "sequence contains ITS2". The record is from RNAcentral. Lineage: Eukaryota; Fungi.
AACGCAAAUUGCACUCUCUGGCAACCCGGGGAGUAUGCCUGUUUGAGGGUCAGUGUUAAUAAAAAUCGGUGCGUUGCAAUUUUUUGUGACGUUCCGGAGUUUGAGUUAUCUUAACUUGGUUUUUAAGAGGCUUAAAAUUGAUCUUUUUUGUGCAUUUUUUUUAGACGUACAUAAAUUUUUUUUUAUUCGUCCAUCCUAAUGCCAAAAUCUAUUAGAUGCGACCAUAUCUUGUGGUUCCGUGUUUAUAAAUUUUUCAUGAUUUGACCUCAAAUCAGGUAGGAACACCCGCUGAACUUAA